Long non-coding RNA from Felis catus (domestic cat), 1282 nucleotides. RefSeq lists it as uncharacterized. NCBI's taxonomy places the organism in Eukaryota, Metazoa, Chordata, Mammalia, Carnivora, Felidae. The transcript has 3 exons. The record is from RefSeq and is a predicted model, not a curated record.
GCACUGCGCAGGCGCCGCAGACGGCGGGCGGGGUCUGGCGGCAGGGCGGAGCCUAGAGGGCCUCGGGGCGCGGCCUGGAGCCCCGAGCGGAUCAGGGGCAGCUCACCUGCAGGCGGGGCGGGGCCUGGCGCUGCAGCGGUACACGGCCUGGGAGCCGGGCUAGGCGGGAGGCGGGACUGGGCCUGGUGCGACUCACCAGGCCGCGAGGCGGGGAAGAGGCGGGACGGAGCGCGACAGGGCCUGGCGGCUGGGUGGAGCCCGGCGGGCGGCGGGCGGGGCCUGGGGCUGCUCACCUGGCGGCGGGUAGGGCGGGCCGGACGAAGCUGGACCUGGCCCGGCGGCCGGGCGGGGAAUGGCGCCACUCACCCGGCGGUCGGGCGGAUGCGAAGGGACGGCGCGGGACGGGGCCUGGGGGCCGGGAGGGGCCCAGCGACCGGGCAGGGCUGGGAACUGCUCACCUGGCGGCGGGGCUGGUGCGGCUCUCACGGGCCUAGUGGGCGAUGGGGUCUGGCGCCGCUCACCUGGCAGCUGGGAGGGCGGGACGGAGCAGGGCGGGCCCGACGCCGCUCUCUCCCGGUGGCGGCGUGGGCGGCCGGGGCGGGGCCGGGCGGGGCUCUCACCUGGUGGCGCCGGGGGCAGCUGGGCGGGGCCCCGGGGCGGGCGCGCGGGGCCGGCCCCCAGGUGUGCGCCGGGAAGGGGCGGUGUUCGGGGCGUCGAGCCCCGGGAGCCUGGGGCGCCAGGGCUCGCGCCGGAAGUCAGGCAUCCUGGGAAGUUUCGUUUUCGUUCAGUGGGAGGACUUUCGCGGAUGGACCUGCCCUCCUCAUUCUUGGAUCUAAGCAGGUGGCCUGUGGAAGUUUGUCACGGGAAGGCUCAGUGGCUGGUGGCAUUUUGCACUGUUGCUUCGGAUGGAGGUCAUGUCCCCGCAGGGAUCUUGCCAGUGAACUUUGAAUGCUAAAUCAAUACCAAAAUUUUUGAGAACGUGUGAUUCUUGAACUGAGAAGAUGUCUCAACACUAUUCUUUCUCUCCGUUUCUGGACCUUGACCUUUGUCACGUGAAAAUUCCCACCGGUCAGGCUGUGUCCAGUGGCACUAAAGCCACACUGUCUUCAUUCCAAACCACUGUGACAGGACAGCGUGCUCUCAGGCGUCCUCAACUGCCAAACUGUCCUGGCAAAUCUUGUCAUUUGUUUAUUUUGUUUUGUUAUUUAUUUAUUUAUUUAUUUAUUUAUUUAUUUAUUUAUUUUUGAGAGAGAGAGAGAGAGAGAGAGAGAGAGAGAGCGAG